Molecule: ribosomal RNA, 1377 nt
Filed under: Phauda mimica
Lineage: Eukaryota; Metazoa; Arthropoda; Insecta; Lepidoptera; Zygaenidae
Description: 16S ribosomal RNA
Source: RNAcentral
GGGGAAAAAUUAAAAAUUUAAUAUUAAUAAAAUAAAUUUUAAAAUAAUAUAUAUAUAUAAUGGGGGUUUAAGUAUAUUUAAUAAAAAAAAUUAUUUUAUUUAUAGUAAAUUAUGUAUUGUAAAAGAAUUGUGAAAUAAUUGAAAUAAUAAUUUAAGAAAAAGUAAUUUUAAUUUAAUGUAUCUUGUGUAUCAGAGUUUAUAAAUAAAAAAUUUUGGGGGAAAUUUUUUCGAAUUCAAAAGAGAUAAUUAAUUAAUAAAUUUACUGUAAAAUAAUUAUUUUAAAUAAUUAAUUUGAAAUGAAAUGUUAUUCGUUUUUGAAGAUAUCUAAUUUUUUUAGAAAAAAAUUUAAUUUUAAAAUUAUAGUUAAAUAUUAAUUAAUUUUUUAAUUUAAUAUUAUAAUAAUUUUUAUAAUUUAAGGGAUAAGCUUUAAAUUAAAUUUUUAUAAGAAAAUAAAAAUAAUUAUAAAAUUUUUAAUAUUUAUAUUGUUUAAAAAUUAUAAUUUAUUAUAAAUAAUUUUAAAUAAAAAGAAAAAUUUAAUAUAACUUUAAAUUUAUAUAAAAAAAAAUAAAUUUUAAUAAAAAAAAAUUUAGUUAAAAUGAUAAAAUUAGUAUAUAAAAAUAAUAGUAAAUAUUUAAAUUAUAUUUAAAUUAAUUAAAUUAAUUAAAAAGAAUUCAGCAAAAAUUUAUAUUCACCUGUUUAUCAAAAACAUGUCUUUUUGAAAAUAAUUUAAAGUCUAAUCUGCCCACUGAUAUAAAUUUAAAGGGCUGCAGUAUAUUGACUGUACAAAGGUAGCAUAAUCAUUAGUCUUUUAAUUGAUGACUUGUAUGAAUGAUUUAAUGAGAUAUGAACUGUUUCUUAAUUAUAAAUUGAAUUUAAUUUUUUAAUUAAAAAGUUAAAAUAAAUUUAAAAGACGAGAAGACCCUAUAGAGUUUAAUUAAUGAAUAAUUUAAAAUUAUUUAAAAAUUUUAAAUUGAAAUUUAUUUAUUAAUUUUGUUGGGGUGAUAAAAAAAUUAAAUUAACUUUUUUUUUUAAAAAUUAUAUAAACAUAAAUAAUUGAAUUUUUGAUCCAUAAUUUUUGAUUAAAAGAAAAAAUUACCUUAGGGAUAACAGCGUAAUUUUUUUUUUUAGUUCAAAUAAAAAAAAAAGUUUGCGACCUCGAUGUUGGAUUAAGAUAAAAUUUAAAUGCAAAAGUUUAAAAUUUUGAUCUGUUCGAUCAUUAAAAUCUUACAUGAUCUGAGUUCAAACCGGUGUAAGCCAGGUUGGUUUCUAUCUUUAAAUAAAUAAAAUAUUUUAGUACGAAAGGAUUAAAUAUUUGAAAUAAUUUUUAUUAGGUGAAUUUUAUUAAAAUAUUAUUAAAAAUAUAUAAAAAAAAAAAAU